RNAcentral lists this ribosomal RNA (1323 nucleotides) under Eurycea lucifuga (cave salamander). Its description in RNAcentral is "partial large subunit ribosomal RNA". It matches the Rfam family "Bacterial large subunit ribosomal RNA", at positions 475 to 2633 of the family's 2925-position model. The record is from RNAcentral. Lineage: Eukaryota; Metazoa; Chordata; Amphibia; Caudata; Plethodontidae.
AACCUUUUAGCGCAAUAGAUAAAGUACUGCAAAGGAAAAAUGAAAUAGAAAUGAUAUAAACCAUAAAAACAAAAUAAAGCAGGAACUAAGCCCCGUACCUUUUGCAUAAUGGUCUAGCAAGUCUUACCCAACAAAAAGAAUUUUAGCCGAUACCCCCGAAACCUGACGAGCUACCCCAAGGCAGCAAUAAGAGCAAACCCGUCUCUGUAGCAAAAGAGUGGGAAGACCUAGGGGUAGUGGCGAAAAACCUAACGAGCCAGGAUAUAGCUGGUUACUUGAAAAAGAAUUUUAGUUCAACUAAGAGUAAACAAUCACCCAAAGAAUAAAUUAUUGCUCUUAAUAUAAUUAACUGGGGUACAGCCCAGUUUAAAUAGGAAACAGCCAACAAAAAUAAAUAAAGAUUUUAACUAUAAGAAGAAUAUAGCCAAGUAGGCCUAAAAGCAGCCACCAAAAAAGCGUCAAAGCUUAUCUCCAUAUAACCUAAUGAUUUUAAUAAAAAAUCUUACUUUAUUUUAAAAAUCAAGUCAAUCUAGUUUUAGAUAAGUUAUUACUAGAAUAAGUAACAAGGACAAAUCCUCUAAAUAUACAUGUACAUCGAAACGAAAGUAUCGCCGACACUUAGCGAACUCAUAUUAACUUUCCAAGAACCACCAAUUAAUCAUACCGUUACCCCGACACAGGCAUAUUUAAGAAAGACCAAAAGCCGGGAAAGGAACUCGGCAAACCUAGGCUUCGCCUGUUUACCAAAAACAUAGCCUCUUGACCUAUUAAUAUAAGAGGUACUGCCUGCCCAGUGACACCUGUUCAACGGCCGCGGUAUUAUGACCGUGCAAAGGUAGCGUAAUCACUUGUCUUUUAAAUAAAGACCUGUAUGAAUGGCGAAACGAGAGCCAAACUGUCUCUCCCAACUAAUCAGUGAAAUUGAUCUUCCCGUGCAGAAGCAGGAAUAUUAAUACAAGACGAGAAGACCCUAUGGAGCUUUAAGCUAAAACUAACAAUGCAAAAUAAACUACAAGGGGCCCUUAGUAUAAAGCUUUAGGUUGGGGCGACCACGGAGAAAAAUAAAACCUCCGAGAUGAUAUAGCCAAGAAAAACACAUCAAAGCAACAAAAACCUUGACACAUUGACCCAAUAUUUGACCAACGAACCAANUUACCCUAGGGAUAACAGCGCAAUCUUCUCAUAGAGUCCUUAUCGACGAGAAGGUUUACGACCUCGAUGUUGGAUCAGGGCCCCCAAAUGGUGCAGCAGCUAUUAAAGGUUCGUUUNUUCAACGAUUAAAGCCCUACGUGAUCUGAGUUCAGACCGGAGAAAUCCAGGUCA